GCAGCCGGUGGGAACCCUAACCGCCAUUACCAUCUCGCGCAGAAACCAGAGAAGAAAAUACGAAUUUGAGAAACCCUCCUUUGAUUGGCGCGAUGAGUUCCCUUUGAUCACUGGGCUGAUAACUAAUUUCGGGAACUUUUCUAAUAUAUCGGGCAAUUGAAUCUUUCAGCAAAUUCUUCACUCAAACUCUAAACUGAACGAUUAGCAGCCGAAUCUGAUGGAUUCGAAACCCGUUAGCGAUAAUGCUGCCGCCCCAAGGAAGG
This 263-nucleotide long non-coding RNA is filed under the name Eucalyptus grandis. RNAcentral's name for it is "long non-coding RNA (EGRA_LNC001965)". Lineage: Eukaryota; Viridiplantae; Streptophyta; Magnoliopsida; Myrtales; Myrtaceae. The record is from RNAcentral.